CUCAGUUAUUUUCUCUUUAACAAACAAUAAUAUCAAAAUGCUUAGAACGUGAAGAACUUCUAGUAUUUCAAGAGAAAGCAACUAUUGCAGAAUCGUCACAAAAUAUCUUCAAUGGCCUCGAAAUGGUGUUCACAACACCUAGCCCCAAGAUAAAGUUCUGCAACCAUAUAGCCUGACAUGUAGUCUCAUAACAAGUAACAUACUCUGCCUCCAUUGUAGAGGAAGCUAUAAGUGACUGUUUGACACUUUUUCAAGAUAUAGCUCCUUCUGCCAUCAUAAAAACAUAACCAGAAGUAGAUCUUCUAUCAUCUAAACAACCUGCAAAAUGGGCAUCAGAAUAUCCAACUAUAUCAAGAAUGUCAGAUCGUCGAUAUGUUAGCAUUAGAUCUUUAGUGCCUUGCAAGUACCUAAGUACUUUCUUUGCAGCUUUCCAGUGAGUCAAACCAGGAACACUCAAGUAUCUCCCAAGUACACCAACAACAUAAGCAAUGUCAGGCCGUGUACAUACUUGAGCAUACAUUAAACUACCAACAAUUGAAGAAUAGGGAAUUGUUUGCAUUUGAGUCCUCUCAUUAUCAUCCUUAGGGCAUUGAGACUUAGAAAAUUUAUCACCUUUCACAAUAGGUGCUUUUCCAGGAGAACAAGAAUGCAUAUUAAACUUACUCAAAACUCAAUCAAUGUAGGUUUUCUGAGACAAUCCAAGAACGCCUUUGGAUCUAUCACGAAAAAUUUGAAUCCCCAAAACAUAAGAGGCCUCACCAAGAUCCUUCAUAUCAAAAUGAG
RNAcentral lists this long non-coding RNA (783 nucleotides) under Olea europaea subsp. europaea. Lineage: Eukaryota; Viridiplantae; Streptophyta; Magnoliopsida; Lamiales; Oleaceae. The record is from RNAcentral.